UAGGGAAUCUUCGGCAAUGGGGGGAACCCUGACCGAGCAACGCCGCGUGAGUGAAGAAGGUUUUCGGAUCGUAAAGCUCUGUUGUUAAGGAAGAACGAGUGUGAGAAUGGAAAGUUCAUACUGUGACGGUACUUAACCAGAAAGGGACGGCUAACUACGUGCCAGCAGCCGCGGUAAUACGUAGGUGGCAAGCGUUGUCCGGAUUUAUUGGGCGUAAAGCGAGCGCAGGCGGUCAAUUAAGUCUGAUGUGAAAGCCCCCGGCUCAACCUGGGAGGGUCAUUGGAAACUGGUGGACUUGAGUGCAGAAGAGGAGAGUGGAAUUCCAUGUGUAGCGGUGAAAUGCGUAGAUAUAUGGAGGAACACCAGUGGCGAAGGCGACUCUCUGGUCUGUAACUGACGCGGAGGCUCGAAAGCGUGGGUAGCAAACAGG
This 430-nucleotide ribosomal RNA is filed under the name Bacteroidota bacterium. Its description in RNAcentral is "Bacteroidetes bacterium partial 16S ribosomal RNA". It matches the Rfam family "Bacterial small subunit ribosomal RNA", at positions 355 to 776 of the family's 1533-position model. Lineage: Bacteria; Pseudomonadati; Bacteroidota. The record is from RNAcentral.